GACGAACGCUGGCGGCGUGCUUAACACAUGCAAGUCGAGCGGUAAGGCCCUUUCGGGGGUACACGAGCGGCGAACGGGUGAGUAACACGUGGGUGACCUGCCUCUAGCUCUGGGAUAAGCCUGGGAAGCUGGGUCUAAUACCGGAUAUGACCUCGCGGUGCAUGUUGCGGGGUGGAAAGCCUUGUGCGGCUAGGGAUGGGCCCGCGGCCUAUCAGCUUGUUGGUGGGGUGAUGGCCUACCAAGGCGACGACGGGUAGCCGGCCUGAGAGGGCGACCGGCCACACUGGGACUGAGACACGGCCCAGACUCCUACGGGAGGCAGCAGUGGGGAAUCUUGCGCAAUGGGCGAAAGCCUGACGCAGCGACGCCGCGUGAGGGAUGACGGCCUCGGU
This 392-nucleotide ribosomal RNA is filed under the name uncultured bacterium. Its description in RNAcentral is "bacterial SSU rRNA". It matches the Rfam family "Bacterial small subunit ribosomal RNA", at positions 28 to 423 of the family's 1533-position model. The record is from RNAcentral.